CUCCAGAUGUUGCUGAACUACAACUCCCAUGAUUCUCAGUAUAUCUAUUUAAUUUAUAGAAUCAUGGGAGUUGUAGUUCAGCAACAUCUGGAG
Molecule: non-coding RNA, 93 nt
Organism: Pelobates cultripes (western spadefoot toad)
Lineage: Eukaryota; Metazoa; Chordata; Amphibia; Anura; Pelobatidae
Source: the annotation of a GenBank genome assembly